CCUACGGGAGGCAGCAGUGGGGAAUCUUGCGCAAUGGGGGAAACCCUGACGCAGCAACGCCGCGUGGGUGAUGAAGGCCUUCGGGUCGUAAAGCCCUGUCAGGUGGGAAGAAAUGUGAAGAUGCUAAUAACAUCUUCACUUGACGGUACCACCGGAGGAAGCACCGGCUAACUCCGUGCCAGCAGCCGCGGUAAUACGGAGGGUGCAAGCGUUGUUCGGAAUUACUGGGCGUAAAGCGCGUGUAGGCGGUCAGGUAAGUCAGAUGUAAAAGCCUUCCGCUCAAUGGGAGAAGUGCAUUUGAAACUGCCUGACUAGAGUACGGGAGAGGAGAGUGAAAUUCCCGGUGUAGGAGUAAAAUCCGUAGAUAUUGGGAGGAACACCGGUGGCGAAGGCGGCUCUCUGGACCGAUACUGACGCUGAGACGCGAAAGCAUGGGGAGCAAACAGGAUUAGAUCCCCUGGUAGU
This 465-nucleotide ribosomal RNA is filed under the name uncultured delta proteobacterium. Its description in RNAcentral is "partial 16S ribosomal RNA". It matches the Rfam family "Bacterial small subunit ribosomal RNA", at positions 338 to 794 of the family's 1533-position model. Lineage: Bacteria; Deltaproteobacteria. The record is from RNAcentral.